This 460-nucleotide ribosomal RNA is filed under the name uncultured bacterium. RNAcentral describes it as "partial 16S ribosomal RNA". It matches the Rfam family "Bacterial small subunit ribosomal RNA", at positions 338 to 795 of the family's 1533-position model. The record is from RNAcentral.
CCUACGGGGGACAGCAGUGAGGAAUAUUGGUCAAUGGACGCAAGUCUGAACCAGCCAUGCCGCGUGCAGGAAGACGGCUCUAUGAGUUGUAAACUGCUUUUGUACGAGGGUAAACGCAGAUACGCGUAUCUGUCUGAAAGUAUCGUACGAAUAAGGAUCGGCUAACUCCGUGCCAGCAGCCGCGGUAAUACGGAGGAUUCAAGCGUUAUCCGGAUUUAUUGGGUUUAAAGGGUGCGUAGGUGGUCGGAUAAGUUAGCGGUGAAAUCCCGAGGCUCAACUUCGGAAUUGCCUCUGAAACUGUUCGGUGAGAGAGGAGGUGCGGUAGGCGGAAUGUAUGGUGUAGCGGUGAAAUGCUUAGAGAUCAUACAGAACACCGAUUGCGAAGGCAGCUUACCAAGCUACUUCUGACGUUGAGGCACGAAAGCGUGGGGAGUAAACAGGAUUAGAUACCCGUGUAGUC